Sapajus apella (tufted capuchin) is the source of this 284-nucleotide long non-coding RNA. RefSeq lists it as uncharacterized. The transcript has 2 exons. Lineage: Eukaryota; Metazoa; Chordata; Mammalia; Primates; Cebidae. The record is from RefSeq and is a predicted model, not a curated record.
AGGCCAGUUGAUUCUCAGAAUUCAUAGCAUUACCUUGCUGACUGGGCAGUGCUCCAGGACACCUGUGAUGACUUAACUGCCAAGGAGGCUGAAGUAGAAGGAUCACUUGAGUCCAGGAGGUUGAAGCUGCAGUGAGCCAAGAUCACACCACUGCACUCAAGCCAGCGCAACAGAAUGAGACCCUGUCUCAAAAACAACAAAGACAAAUGGAAAAGAGCAUCCAGUGGCCAAAGCAGGAACAAUUUAAGUAACAGAAUCAAUAAAAUAUUGGAUUAUGACCCAAA